Molecule: ribosomal RNA, 374 nt
Filed under: uncultured bacterium
Lineage: Bacteria
Description: bacterial SSU rRNA
Rfam family: Bacterial small subunit ribosomal RNA
Source: RNAcentral
UACGUAGGGGGCAAGCGUUAUCCGGAAUCACUGGGUGUAAAGGGUGCGUAGGCGGCAAUGUAAGUCAGAUGUGAAAUCCCGGGGCUCAACCCCGGGCGUGCAUUUGAAACUGCAUAGCUAGAGUGCAGGAGAGGAAAGUGGAAUUCCUAGUGUAGCGGUGAAAUGCGUAGAUAUUAGGAGGAACACCAGUGGCGAAGGCGACUUUCUGGACUGUAACUGACGCUGAUGCACGAAAGCGUGGGUAGCGAACAGGAUUAGAUACCCUGGUAGUCCACGCCGUAAACGAUGAGUGCUAGGUGUCGGGGGGUCAUACCCUCGGUGCCGGAGCAAACGCAUUAAGCACUCCACCUGGGGAAUACGUUCGCAAGAAUGAA